GGAUUGGGACCAAGCAGCAGCAACAGCUCCCACAUUUAAAACAGUUGUGGCUUGUUCGAAUGGAGAAGCUGACGCAUCUGGGCCAAGAUGAUGAAGAUGAUAACUCACAAUCAGCCCCCCGCAUCCCAAAUUUUCCCAACUUGCAAAUUCUAUACGUGAAUGGUUGCGACAGCUUAAAGAAUCUGAGAUCAUCAGCAAUAUCCUUCAACAAUCUAACAAGCUUGCGAGUAAGUGUUUGCAAGGGGCUGAAAUACUUGAUAACUUACUCCAUGGCCAAAAGUUUAACGCAGCUCACAAAAUUGGAAGUUGAGGAGUGUAAGAGACUGGUAUAUAUAGUGGCAAGCAAUGAAGAUGACGAUUCAUUAGGAAGUUAUGAGGUUACAUUCAGGGGGCUGAAACAUUUGAAACUAUAAAGUCUACCAAGAAUGCAAGGCUUUUGCUCCGGAAAUUGCAUUGCUAAAUUCCCGUCCUUGAAAACUUCAAGCAUGAGCAACCGCCUCAAAUUGAAGAUUUUCGAAGCUCAUAACCAAACGCUACAGCUAACAGAUGAAGAGGCAGACACAGAUGUCGAUUACUUCGAGGCAAGUCUGAUUGCUGAGGAUAAACGGAAUUCGGCAAGUACUAAUUGAUAUCUUAACCAGAUUUCACUCUUUCAAACAGUGAAGCUCAUCCGGGGUAUCAAGAUGAAGUGGAAAUCUAGUUUUUGAGGACUACAUUUGGGAAGGGUUAUACUAUACAGACCAAUGUUUGCAUCAGAGGAAGUGGAGAUGGAAAAAUUAUUGGGAGAGAGAUGAAGUUACUUUUGUGGUUUGAUCCGAUCGAUCAUUAUGCUAUAUUAAGGAGAUUAUAAUGUCAAAGUGAUCAGUUUAUCAAGGACCGAACACAAUUUGUCAAGAGCCCUGUAAAUCAUGAAGUUCUGUUUUCCCUGCUCAAAGUCUUUAUCUCCUUCAGCAGGAAUCAUCGAUGAUUGUACCUUCGCUGGAUCUGUAUGCUGAUAGUAUCAGAGGGAAGCUCAAACAGAAUUGAUGCUUCUGAAGUUUCGUCGGAGCUAAAAUCAAAUGGACAAGUUGUGGAUGAAAGUCUGUUCAAAGAUAGCAAGAUGAAUGUGACUGAGAUGCAGAUAGAUGAUUCAAUGCAGAAGUAGGAAUGGAAUGUGAGGUGUCUGUACCAAAGUCAGCUUCAGAUAUCAUUAUGAAAUGAUAUCAGAGGUUAUGGAUGGAUCUGAUGAAAAGAUCUCAGCUGAGGAUAAAGGAACCUCAUUGUGAAGGAGCACAAGAUUUGUUAGUUGCCAAAGAUUCUAAUUAUGUUACUAUUGUUCAAUCUGCGUUGCCACAAACAGUAAACGAAUCCCCAAGUGCUAUGAAAACUGUUGAGCCCAUUUCAUUGACUCAGAGUUCAACUCCCACUAAGAGUUGAUGUGAAUGUGGCUGCCACUGUGAUAGAGCCUAAAGAAGCUUCAAGGCUGAGGCAUUGGGUGAUUAAGAUGGGAAAUUAGAUUUCGAAUCAGGUUCCAGCGUGGAAGGAGAUUCUGAGGAUGAGGGCACUAAAGAUGAGGCAGUGGCUGAAGCUUCAUAUGAGCUUUAGGAUAACAUGAAUGUUGCACAAGUGAAGAAGAAGAUUCUGAGGAUGCGAACUCUGAAGAUAGUCGGUUGAUGAAGCUUCAUCUGAGCUUCAGGAUAACAUGAAUGAUAUCAGGAAGCAAAUGAAGAGGAAGGUUGUUGCCUCUGAGAGUGAGACAAUGUAUUGUGUCUAUGUAGCCUGCUUAGAAUUUACGUUUUUAAAAUGUGUCAAUAUGCACGUCCGGUUAGAACACCAGCUUUUGUAAUAUGUAUAAAUUUCAUAAAGAUGUUUGGUAAACGUUUUUUAA
Molecule: long non-coding RNA, 1867 nt
Organism: Rosa rugosa (rugosa rose)
Lineage: Eukaryota; Viridiplantae; Streptophyta; Magnoliopsida; Rosales; Rosaceae
Exons: 6
Source: RefSeq, a predicted model, not a curated record